CCUACGGGGGGCAGCAGUGAGGAAUAUUGGUCAAUGGGCGGGAGCCUGAACCAGCCAAGUCGCGUGAGGGAAGACGGUCCUAUGGAUUGUAAACCUCUUUAGGCGGGGAGCAAUGCCGGGCACGCGUGCCCGGAGGGAGAGUACCCGCAGAAUAAGCAUCGGCUAACUCCGUGCCAGCAGCCGCGGUAAUACGGAGGAUGCGAGUGUUAUCCGGCGUUAGUGGGUUUAAAGGGUGCGUAGGCGGAUUUUUAAGUCAGCGGUAAAAUGUCCGGGCUCAACCCGGGCCGGCCGUUGAAACUGGGGAGCUUGAGUGGGCGAGAAGUAUGCGGAAUGCGUGGUGUAGCGGUGAAAUGCAUAGAUAUCACGCAGAACUCCGAUUGCGAAGGCAGCAUACCGGCGCCCGACUGACGCUGAGGCACGAAAGCGUGGGGAUCGAACAGGAUUAGAUACCCGAGUAGUC
Molecule: ribosomal RNA, 460 nt
Filed under: uncultured bacterium
Lineage: Bacteria
Description: partial 16S ribosomal RNA
Rfam family: Bacterial small subunit ribosomal RNA
Source: RNAcentral